GACGAACGCUGGCGGCGUGCUUAACACAUGCAAGUCGAACGGAAAGGCCCUGCUUGCAGGGUACUCGAGUGGCGAACGGGUGAGUAACACGUGGGUGAUCUGCCCUGCACUUCGGGAUAAGUCUGGGAAACUGGGUCUAAUACCGGAUAGGAGCCAUUUUUAGUGUGAUGGUUGGAAAGUUUUUUCGGUGUAGGAUGAGCUCGCGGCCUAUCAGCUUGUUGGUGGGGUAAUGGCCUACCAAGGCGGCGACGGGUAGCCGGCCUGAGAGGGUGGACGGCCACAGUGGGACUGAGAUACGGCCCAGACUCCUACGGGAGGCAGCAGUGGGGAAUAUUGCACAAUGGGCGCAAGCCUGAUGCAGCGACGCCGCGUGGGGGAUGACGGCCUUCGGGUUGUAAACUCCUUUCGCUAGGGACGAAGCUUUUUGUGACGGUACCUAGAGAAGAAGCACCGGCUAACUACGUG
RNAcentral lists this ribosomal RNA (465 nucleotides) under uncultured bacterium. RNAcentral's name for it is "partial 16S ribosomal RNA". It matches the Rfam family "Bacterial small subunit ribosomal RNA", at positions 28 to 507 of the family's 1533-position model. The record is from RNAcentral.